GCCGGGCGUGGUGGUGUGCACCUGUAGUCCCAGCUACUUGGGAGGCUGAGGUGGGAGGAUGGCUUGAGCCCAGGAGAUGAAGAUUGCAGUGAGUCGAAAUUGUGCCACUGCAUUCCAGCCUGGGUGACAGAGCCAGACCCCGUCUCAA
This is an unclassified non-coding RNA of Papio anubis (olive baboon), 148 nucleotides long. It matches the Rfam family "Metazoan signal recognition particle RNA". From Rfam's summary of the family: The signal recognition particle (SRP) is a universally conserved ribonucleoprotein. It is involved in the co-translational targeting of proteins to membranes. NCBI's taxonomy places the organism in Eukaryota, Metazoa, Chordata, Mammalia, Primates, Cercopithecidae. The record is from Ensembl.